UUUGCAUGUUUUUUGGUCCAGGCUUUGCAGUUGGGCCAGGACGCAUAUAGUCCCUAUGAGCUUAGAAGUCAAAGGUGUCAGAUGUGUUUGCGUUCUGAUUCUCUGCAUAAAGUGAUGGAACGCUUGGCAAAUCCAGGUGUGAGGCGGCUUGUGAUCGUGGAAGCCGGCAGCAAGCGUGUAGAAGGCAUUGUUUCAUUGAGCGACAUAUUUAAGUUCUUCCUUGGUGGUUAGUUUGGAUUGGUGAAGAAGUGAAAGGGUCUGUGUAGUGCUUAUGACAUACAAUUAGCCGCCGUGACUUGUCCAGCCAUUGAAAGUGCUUUCUACACGGUGAUUUUUAUCUCAUUUCAUUGUAAUACAAUUGGAUUGGCCUCUUGCUUUAUUGCCUCUUUUUAAGAUUUUAGGCUGAGAGAGAGGCCUGUAAAUUCAGAGUAUUUGAUUGCCCCAAAAUUUAUUCAUCUCUCCCCAUUCGUAUUAUCUUCAAAUGUAUUGUGCUCCUGACAAUAGAUACCAGCAAGGUGGGGGAGCACAACAUCUGUAAUCAUUCCAUGCUGUGAAGAUAUCAAGUUUGAAGAAAAAAAAAUGAGGAUGAAGAUUGAGAUACUGUUGUUUUAUAUUUGUUGAUUAAUAAUCCUUACUUAGGGUUUGAUUGUUUACCUUACUUAAGAAUAACUUUAGCCUAAGUAGCUUAUCAAUAAGGGACCUUUGCAUAUCAAGUUGUAUCAUUAGAGUAGCUGAUCUGAACAAAAAACCUAUAAGCAACAAUUGUUUGUACUAGUUUAUCUAAUAGUAGGACAUGUUUAAGCAA
Vigna umbellata (rice bean) is the source of this 805-nucleotide non-coding RNA. NCBI's taxonomy places the organism in Eukaryota, Viridiplantae, Streptophyta, Magnoliopsida, Fabales, Fabaceae. The record is from RefSeq and is a predicted model, not a curated record.